GGACCCGCACAAGUAGUGGAGCAUGUGGUUUAAUUCGAAGAUACGCGCAGAACCUUACCAACACUUGACAUGUUCGUCGCGACUUUGAGAGAUCAAAGUUUUCGGUUCGGCCGGACGAAACACAGGUGCUGCAUGGCUGUCGUCAGCUCGUGUCGUGAGAUGUUGGGUUAAGUCCCGCAACGAGCGCAACCCUCACUUUUAGUUGCCAUCAUUAAGUUGGGCACUCUGAAAGAACUGCCAGUGAUAAGCUGGAGGAAGGUGGGGAUGACGUCAAGUCCUCAUGGCCCUUACGUGUUGGGCUACACACGUGCUACAAUGGUAUCUACAACAGGAAGCAAAAUCGCGAGGUUAAGCAAAUCCUUAAAAGAUACCUCAGUUCGGAUUGCACUCUGCAACUCGAGUUGCAUGAAGCUGGAAUU
Molecule: ribosomal RNA, 419 nt
Filed under: uncultured bacterium
Lineage: Bacteria
Description: bacterial SSU rRNA
Rfam family: Bacterial small subunit ribosomal RNA
Source: RNAcentral